This 116-nucleotide ribosomal RNA is filed under the name Candidatus Bipolaricaulota bacterium. The record is from RNAcentral. Lineage: Bacteria; Candidatus Bipolaricaulota.
CCAGGCGGCAGAUGGCGGGAGGGAAACACCCGGUUCCAUCCCGAACCCGGAAGUUAAGCCUCCCAGCGCCGAUGGUACUGGGCAGAAAUGCCCGGGAGAGUAGGUCGCCGCCUGGU